This 527-nucleotide unclassified non-coding RNA is filed under the name Metschnikowia sp. JSKim-2014. RNAcentral describes it as "partial contains 18S rRNA, ITS1, 5.8S rRNA, and ITS2". The stretch from base 196 to 349 matches the Rfam family "5.8S ribosomal RNA". Lineage: Eukaryota; Fungi; Ascomycota; Pichiomycetes; Serinales; Metschnikowiaceae. The record is from RNAcentral.
GCGGAAGGAUCAUUAAAGAGUAAGGGUGCUCAGCGCCCGACCUCCAACCCUUUGUUGUUAAAACUACCUUGUUGCUUUGGCGGGACCGCUCGGUCUCGAGCCGCUGGGGAUUCGUCCCAGGCGAGCGCCCGCCAGAGUUAAACCAAACUCUUGUUAUUAAACCGGUCGUCUGAGUUAAAAUUUUGAAUAAAUCAAAACUUUCAACAACGGAUCUCUUGGUUCUCGCAUCGAUGAAGAACGCAGCGAAAUGCGAUAAGUAAUGUGAAUUGCAGAAUUCAGUGAAUCAUCGAAUCUUUGAACGCACAUUGCGCCCCUUGGUAUUCCGAGGGGCAUGCCUGUUCGAGCGUCAUUACACCACUCAAGCUAUGCUUGGUAUUGGGUGCCGUCCUUAGUUGGGCGCGCCUUAAAGACCUCGGCGAGGCCUCACCGGCUUUAGGCGUAGUAGAAUUUAUUCGAACGUCUGUCAAAGGAGAGGACUUCUGCCGACUGAAACCUUUUAUUUUUCUAGGUUGACCUCGGAUCAGGUA